This 1182-nucleotide long non-coding RNA is filed under the name Apteryx haastii (Great spotted kiwi). RNAcentral describes it as "lncRNA (ENSAHAG00000005866.1)". Lineage: Eukaryota; Metazoa; Chordata; Aves; Apterygiformes; Apterygidae. The record is from RNAcentral.
CAGCAUGUCCAGCCCCUCCCAUCCCAUCCCGCAUGCAGCUCUUGGGCCCGGAGCCAGCCCCCGCGCUCCAGCCCGGAGAAGGAGGGAGCUCUGCGCCCCGCUCCCCCGGGCCGGGGAGGGCACCGUGUCCCCCGGGGCCUGCGCAGAGCCGAGUGCUGCCUGAGCACACGGGGUGCCCGGCCCGGGUGGGAGAGCUUGUCGGGGUGGGGUGGGGAGGGAUCCGGCAAGGGUUAAGGAUCUACCCCGUUCCGGGCAGCUGGAGCAGAGGCUUUCUGCAGGGAGGCGAGGGGAACCCCGGGGGUGAAAGGGGAAGGGGACAUCCCAAACAGGCCAUCAGCGAGCACCGCAGUGAUGCCCUGCGCCGCUCUGCACAGGGGAGGUUAUUCCCGGUCCAGGUCGGCUCCCCGUUGAGCUGCCGUGUGCCUGGGCAGCGCUGGGCUCUGCCUCUCCCCGGUUCCUGCCCCGCUGGCAGCCAGCUCGCAGGCGCUGGGCUCCGUAACAGGGCUUACGAGCUUUACCGCAGAUCUGUCUCGUCCUGGGGACGUGUGGCGAGCAAAGCCUGCGGCCUCGGCACGUGCAUCUCCUCCUGCCCCCCUGGACCCGCUCAGCCUCGGGCCGACGCGGGGCAGAGGCUGCGCGCGGGGAAGGUGCCGCUGCGAGGUCCCGUCGGCGGAGGAGCCCCAGCCCCGGGUCGGGGUAGCAGCUGCCUUCGUGGGGGCGCGGGGCCGGCUGGGGGGCCGAGCCGGCCUGGGGGCUGCUGCGGGUGCAGGUGCGCGGCGGGGCCGUCCCCGUCCCGCUCGGCUGUGCCACGCUGGUGGUGCCCAGAACGGCGGCGGGGGCCUGCGCGGGCGAGCGGCGAUGAGCCCCACAUGCAGGAGCCCCGGGCCGGGGGUGCCGUGCCCCAACCCCAUGCGGGUCUCGGGCUGGUGCUGCGCCUCCAGCGUCCGCAGCAGGCGGAGGGAGGAAGGAGCAGCGGGUGUCUAGGAUGUGCUGCAGCCCCUGCUCCCCGGUGCCGGCACGGGGCUGAGGCAGCGGCGGGGCAGGUGCUGGCGGGACCCCCGUGCUGCCCGGCUCCCCGCGUGGGGCAGGGAGGAUCUGGGCAGCCCCGCGCCGCUGGGUCUGCNNNNNNNNNNNNNNNNNNNNNNNNNNNNNNNNNNNNNNNNNNNNNNNNNNNNNNNNNNN